This 498-nucleotide ribosomal RNA is filed under the name uncultured bacterium. RNAcentral describes it as "bacterial SSU rRNA". It matches the Rfam family "Bacterial small subunit ribosomal RNA", at positions 1013 to 1509 of the family's 1533-position model. The record is from RNAcentral.
UUCCCCUUCGGGGGACAGGAUGACAGGUGGUGCAUGGUUGUCGUCAGCUCGUGUCGUGAGAUGUUGGGUUAAGUCCCGCAACGAGCGCAACCCUUGAUCUUAGUUGCCAGCAUUUAGUUGGGCACUCUAAGGUGACUGCCGGUGACAAACCGGAGGAAGGUGGGGAUGACGUCAAAUCAUCAUGCCCCUUAUGACCUGGGCUACACACGUGCUACAAUGGAUGGUACAAAGGGCAGCAAAACCGCGAGGUCGAGCCAAUCCCAUAAAACCAUUCUCAGUUCGGAUUGUAGGCUGCAACUCGCCUACAUGAAGCUGGAAUCGCUAGUAAUCGCGGAUCAGCAUGCCGCGGUGAAUACGUUCCCGGGCCUUGUACACACCGCCCGUCACACCACGAGAGUUUGUAACACCCGAAGUCGGUGGGGUAACCCUUCUGGGAGCCAGCCGCCUAAGGUGGGAUAGAUGAUUGGGGUGAAGUCGUAACAAGGUAAGCGUAGCGAG